GGCCUGAGCUUUCCUGCUAUCAGUUGAUUGGAAAUUCCACCUAAAUGUGUCCUUGCCUUAUCCUGUUCUGAUGUACGUGUCUUCUGAUCAAGGGACACCAGGAGACAGACAGCAGGUGAUGGGCAUGCCAAAGAGAAAAAGAAGUCUUCACACAACCAGUGGCUCAAAUCCCCAAAGUGGAACUGCAAGGUCAAAAGACGCAGGUCUGUCAUCGAUUUCUGACCUCUCAGAUAUAAGAAGAAAUAUCUUGAGGACUUCUGGGAAGGAUUUCACCUCUAAUAAAAAAAGACAAGGACUUUUUUGCCCUUUUCCUCUACCUUCCUACUCUGGAAACUUUCAAAUAAGUAUGGGCUAUCUAGAGCUGCAGCAGCUAUUUACAACUAUGAGGAGACAAGCCAGGUGAUGAAAUUCAAUACCCUUAAGGAAGGCAGAGUUAAAGGAUGGAAAGAAACGUCUUUUAAGAUACUGCUGAGCCACCACACCAACCACAGGACCAUCUUAAGACUUCUUGUUAAGUAAAAGUCAAAUGUUGCUACAUUAAUGAGGUUUUCUACUGCUUUCAACCAAGCACAACCUAAUUGGAUAAUCUAAUGAUUAAUUAUGUAUUAUAAUGUAUGGAUAUGUCUUUAUUUUUCAGUAUUCUUCCUUGUUAUGUUAGCUUCAUACUGAG
RNAcentral lists this long non-coding RNA (670 nucleotides) under Equus caballus (horse). RNAcentral describes it as "lncRNA (ENSECAG00000054377.1)". Lineage: Eukaryota; Metazoa; Chordata; Mammalia; Perissodactyla; Equidae. The record is from RNAcentral.